Molecule: long non-coding RNA, 199 nt
Filed under: Lathyrus oleraceus (garden pea)
Lineage: Eukaryota; Viridiplantae; Streptophyta; Magnoliopsida; Fabales; Fabaceae
Description: Pisum sativum (pea) long non-coding RNA (PSAT_LNC029360)
Source: RNAcentral
UGAAUGUGAAGAGGGAGGGGAAAAUAGAAACAUAAAUUGAUCAUGAGAGGAAUUUCAUUUGAUCAAUACCAUCAUGAAGAGGGAGGGGAAAAUAGAAACAUAAAUUGAUCAUGAGAGGAAUUUCAUUUGAUCAAUACCAUCCAUUCAUUUUGGGAGAUGAAACGUACAUUUCAUCAAUCCCCUAAAUCCAAUGGUUUUG